RNAcentral lists this ribosomal RNA (465 nucleotides) under Vreelandella stevensii. RNAcentral describes it as "partial 16S ribosomal RNA". It matches the Rfam family "Bacterial small subunit ribosomal RNA", at positions 338 to 795 of the family's 1533-position model. The record is from RNAcentral. Lineage: Bacteria; Pseudomonadati; Pseudomonadota; Gammaproteobacteria; Oceanospirillales; Halomonadaceae.
CCUACGGGCGGCAGCAGUGGGGAAUAUUGGACAAUGGGGGGAACCCUGAUCCAGCCAUGCCGCGUGUGUGAAGAAGGCCCUUGGGUUGUAAAGCACUUUCAGUGAGGAAGAACGCCUGGUGGUUAAUACCCAUCAGGAAAGACAUCACUCACAGAAGAAGCACCGGCUAACUCCGUGCCAGCAGCCGCGGUAAUACGGAGGGUGCGAGCGUUAAUCGGAAUUACUGGGCGUAAAGCGCGCGUAGGUGGCUUGAUAAGCCGGUUGUGAAAGCCCCGGGCUCAACCUGGGAACGGCAUCCGGAACUGUCAAGCUAGAGUGCAGGAGAGGAAGGUAGAAUUCCCGGUGUAGCGGUGAAAUGCGUAGAGAUCGGGAGGAAUACCAGUGGCGAAGGCGGCCUUCUGGACUGACACUGACACUGAGGUGCGAAAGCGUGGGUAGCAAACAGGAUUAGAUACCCCGGUAGUC